This 460-nucleotide ribosomal RNA is filed under the name uncultured bacterium. RNAcentral describes it as "partial 16S ribosomal RNA". It matches the Rfam family "Bacterial small subunit ribosomal RNA", at positions 338 to 795 of the family's 1533-position model. The record is from RNAcentral.
CCUACGGGUGGCAGCAGUGAGGAAUAUUGGUCAAUGGACGAGAGCCUGAACCAGCCAAGUAGCGUGAAGGAUGACUGCCCUAUGGGUUGUAAACUUCUUUUAUAUGGGAAUAAAAUGUUGCACGUGUGCGAUUUUGCAUGUACCAUAUGAAUAAGGAUCGGCUAACUCCGUGCCAGCAGCCGCGGUAAUACGGAGGAUCCGAGCGUUAUCCGGAUUUAUUGGGUUUAAAGGGAGCGUAGGUGGAUUGUUAAGUCAGUUGUGAAAGUUUGCGGCUCAACCGUAAAAUUGCAGUUGAAACUGGCAGUCUUGAGUACAGUAGAGGUGGGCGGAAUUCGUGGUGUAGCGGUGAAAUGCUUAGAUAUCACGAAGAACUCCGAUUGCGAAGGCAGCUCACUGGACUGCAACUGACACUGAGGCUCGAAAGUGUGGGUAUCAAACAGGAUUAGAUACCCGUGUAGUC